This 497-nucleotide ribosomal RNA is filed under the name uncultured bacterium. Its description in RNAcentral is "partial 16S ribosomal RNA". It matches the Rfam family "Bacterial small subunit ribosomal RNA", at positions 28 to 507 of the family's 1533-position model. The record is from RNAcentral.
GAUGAACGCUGGCGGCGUGCCUAAUACAUGCAAGUCGAGCGAACGGACGAGAAGCUUGCUUCUCUGAUGUUAGCGGCGGACGGGUGAGUAGCACGUGGAUAACCUACCUAUAAGACUGGGAUAACUUCGGGAAACCGGAGCUAAUACCGGAUAAUAUUUUGAACCGCAUGGUUCAAAAGUGAAAGACGGUCUUGCUGUCACUUAUAGAUGGAUCCGCGCUGCAUUAGCUAGUUGGUAAGGUAACGGCUUACCAAGGCAACGAUGCAUAGCCGACCUGAGAGGGUGAUCGGCCACACUGGAACUGAGACACGGUCCAGACUCCUACGGGAGGCAGCAGUAGGGAAUCUUCCGCAAUGGGCGGAAGCCUGACGGAGCAACGCCGCGUGAGUGAUGAAGGUCUUCGGAUCGUAAAACUCUGUUAUUAGGGAAGAACAUAUGUGUAAGUAACUGUGCACAUCUUGACGGUACCUAAUCAGAAAGCCACGGCUAACUACGUG